CUGGCAGCCCGACACCACCACCACCACCAUCGCCACCAUCACACACACUGCAGCUCUCAAACGCAAGCCUUCCCCCGGCAAACACGCACUGCUACACUCACUGGGGUACUGGCGCGUUAAAAGGCCGACAACCCCAGACAGGGUGGCCGGGACAAAGCAUCACACACUCAUACACACAUCAUUCACACUCUUAGCCCCGUCAACUCCCGGUGGAAUGGGAAAGUCUCAUGGACUACGCUACUCAGGAACUUAUGCAUAGCACAGCUGACAACAAAUAUCCACAGCAAGGUCCGACAACAUACAUUGGUUUACCUCUGCCUCUUCACAACGAGACUGUUUCCUACUUCGCAUCUACUCCAAUCCAGAGUACUUCCUACAGAGUGCCCCUUGACCAGUAUAAAUAAUCUUGUUUAAUUCACUGAGAGACCUUCAUUUGCUCUGACUCAGUAAAACCAACACAUCGUCUUCCUUAUUCCAUGAAGCCAUCUGAACUCUACUAAAAUCCUUUGGCGAGUGCUUAACAAGUAUGAAGGCACAGGAAGAAAGGAAUGAAGGAGUGAACGAAGAAAGAAAAACAGAAAGAAAGAAGAAACAAAGAAGAAAGGAAAAAAGGAAGAAAGAAAGAAAGGAAGGAAGGAAGGUAGAAAGGAAGGAGAGAGAGAGAGAGAGAGAGAGAGAGAGAGAGAGAGAGAGAGAGAGAGAGAGAGAGAGAGAGAGAGAGAGAGAGAGAGUCCAAGCGUGUCAGAAAGAGCUGUUCUUACCACGACAGAAAACAAAACAGCCAAAGAAGACACGCCAGUACAUCACAACUCUAUCAAAAACCGGCAUACGUAUUCUUAAAAAUUUCGGUGUCUUACGGUGGCCACUUCUCACAGGCUCCGGUGAAAGUUGCAGUAGUUUUCAAGGGUAUUUUCAUGAUACUGGUGAUGGUUUAACAAGGAUUCUUCACUGUCAGUACAAAAGACACACAUGGGAAACCGAAUAAUAAUCUCUGCAGCUUUUAAAAAUUUGUCCUUAUGAGGGACCCAGACGUUUAUGAAUACUGGACACAAAACGGAAACCAAACACCGUAACUACUAAUACCAUACUACUUAGUGUCCUAUUAGUAACUUUCAAGAAUUGGUUACGUACAAAGAAGGGGAAGCUACUGACCGUGUCAUCAAUAAUGACACACACACACACACACACACACACACACACACACACACACACACACACACACACACACACACAUACAUGGACCAUAGCAGUGCAACAACAACAACAACAACAACAACAACAGGGCAACACGAGAAGUAAAAAUGACCACCGGAAAGGCUCGUAACGAGCCAUUAUUGUGGCCCUGCAUCUCUCUCUCUCUCUCUCUCUCUCUCUCUCUCUCUCUCUCUCUCUCUCUCUCUCUCUCUCUCUGAGAGAGAGAGAGAGAGAGAGAGAGAGAGAGAGAGAGAGAGAGAGAGAGAGAGUGUGUGUGUGUGUGUGUGUGUGUGUGUGCGAGUGAAACGGAGAACAAGAACAAGAACAAAACAAGAACAAGCAAAACAAGAACAAGAAGAGAAUGAAGAAAAAGAAGAACAAUAACAACAACAACAAAAGGAAAAGAAAAACCUGAUGAGAACACAAAAGAAAGCGAAAGAGGAGGAAUACAAAAUGAAGAA
This is a long non-coding RNA of Scylla paramamosain (green mud crab), 1655 nucleotides long. RefSeq lists it as uncharacterized. The record is from RefSeq and is a predicted model, not a curated record. The transcript has 2 exons. Lineage: Eukaryota; Metazoa; Arthropoda; Malacostraca; Decapoda; Portunidae.